Molecule: ribosomal RNA, 429 nt
Filed under: uncultured bacterium
Lineage: Bacteria
Description: bacterial SSU rRNA
Rfam family: Bacterial small subunit ribosomal RNA
Source: RNAcentral
AAUGAGCGCUGGCGGCGCGCCUAAUACAUGCAAGUCGAGCGAGAAGACGUAGCAAUACGUUUGUAAAGCGGCGAACGGGUGAGGAAUACAUGGGUAACCUACCCUCGAGUGGGGAAUAACUAGCCGAAAGGUUAGCUAAUACCGCGUACGCUCCUUGGACUUCGGUUCAGGGAGGAAAGCGAUACCGUGGGUAUCGCGCUCUUGGAUGGGCUCAUGUCCUAUCAGCUUGUUGGGAGGUAACGGCUCACCAAGGCUUCGACGGGUAGCUGGUCUGAGAGGACGAUCAGCCACACUGGCACUGCGACACGGGCCAGACUCCUACGGGAGGCAGCAGUAAGGAAUAUUGCGCAAUGGGCGAAAGCCUGACGCAGCGACGCCGCGUGGGGGAUGAAGGUCUUCGGAUUGUAAACCCCUUUCGGGAGGGAAGAU